This 613-nucleotide long non-coding RNA is filed under the name Numida meleagris (helmeted guineafowl). RNAcentral describes it as "lncRNA (ENSNMEG00000000127.1)". Lineage: Eukaryota; Metazoa; Chordata; Aves; Galliformes; Numididae. The record is from RNAcentral.
UGCUUUCAUUUCUCAUCAGGAUUGUAGGGGCAGCAUCACAUGUUAUGAGGGAUUGCAGCUGGAAGCCAAUCUGCACAAACCCUUGAGAAACAGAGCAAGAGGGGAAAUGACUGGAUAUACCACAGUGUCCUUCCUACGACUUCUCCCCUUUUUCCUUCUCUUAGGCCUUCCUCAGCUCUUUCCUUUGCAAUAUACUCUAUCCUUAAAGAACAGAGAAGCAAGCAGCAAUUGUGUCGAGGGCUCCUUCAGAUAAAUCCACAAGGAGCUCUGCAACAGCAUCUCGAGAAGAGGGUAACCAUUAACAGCAAGUUGCCACGUAGAGCCAGUGUUCCUGUGAAGAUUCUGACUCUGAUUCUCAGUCUCUGCCAGUGUUGCCUUCAACCUGAAUGAAGAGAUAUGUUUUUCCAGUCUGCAUGCAAGCCUCAUGCUGUUAGUAAAUCAUGGUUGUUCAAAUGUCUUUUCAGCUGUUCAUAUUAUUUUUGAGCUAUUUCAUGCUUUCCCCAAUCAGAAACAAUAGUUCCUUUUUUUUAACUGAUGAAGUCUGCUAACUUCACGUUUCAUUAAUGUACCUCAAAUGCGUCAUUCUCUGACAACACUGGUACUCCUAAUGCAA